GCCGGGCAUGGUGGCACGUGCCUGUAGUUCCAGCUACUUGGGAGGCUGAGGCUGGAGGAUCGCUUGAGUCCAGGAGUUCUGGGCUGUAGUGCGCUAUGCCAAUCGGGUGUCUGCACUAAGUUCAGCAUCAAUAUGGUGACCUCCCGGGAGCGAGGGAGCACCAGGUUGCCUAAGGAGAGGUGAACCAGCCCAGGUCGGAAAUGGAGCAGGUCAGAACUCACGUGCUGAUCAGUACUGGAAUGGCGCCUGUGAAUAGCCACUGCACUCCAGCCUGGGCAACAUAGUGAGACCCUGUCUCUA
Unclassified non-coding RNA from Callithrix jacchus (white-tufted-ear marmoset), 300 nucleotides. It matches the Rfam family "Metazoan signal recognition particle RNA". Rfam says of the family: The signal recognition particle (SRP) is a universally conserved ribonucleoprotein. It is involved in the co-translational targeting of proteins to membranes. NCBI's taxonomy places the organism in Eukaryota, Metazoa, Chordata, Mammalia, Primates, Cebidae. The record is from Ensembl.